AUUGAACGCUGGCGGCAUGCCUAACACAUGCAAGUCGAACGAGACCUUCGGGUCUAGUGGCGCACGGGUGCGUAACGCGUGGGAAUCUGCCCUUGGGUUCGGAAUAACAGUUAGAAAUGACUGCUAAUACCGGAUAAUGUCUUCGGACCAAAGAUUUAUCGCCCAGGGAUGAGCCCGCGUAGGAUUAGCUAGUUGGUGAGGUAAAGGCUCACCAAGGCGACGAUCCUUAGCUGGUCUGAGAGGAUGAUCAGCCACACUGGGACUGAGACACGGCCCAGACUCCUACGGGAGGCAGCAGUGGGGAAUAUUGGACAAUGGGCGAAAGCCUGAUCCAGCAAUGCCGCGUGAGUGAUGAAGGCCUUAGGGUUGUAAAGCUCUUUUACCCGGGAUGAUAAUGACAGUACCGGGAGAAUAAGCCCCGGCUAACUCCGUGCCAGCAGCCGCGGUAAU
This 450-nucleotide ribosomal RNA is filed under the name uncultured bacterium. Its description in RNAcentral is "bacterial SSU rRNA". It matches the Rfam family "Bacterial small subunit ribosomal RNA", at positions 30 to 524 of the family's 1533-position model. The record is from RNAcentral.